RNAcentral lists this ribosomal RNA (441 nucleotides) under Staphylococcus aureus. RNAcentral's name for it is "partial 23S ribosomal RNA". It matches the Rfam family "Bacterial large subunit ribosomal RNA", at positions 12 to 446 of the family's 2925-position model. The record is from RNAcentral. Lineage: Bacteria; Bacillati; Bacillota; Bacilli; Caryophanales; Staphylococcaceae.
UAAGGGCGCACGGUGGAUGCCUUGGCACUAGAAGCCGAUGAAGGACGUUACUAACGACGAUAUGCUUUGGGGAGCUGUAAGUAAGCUUUGAUCCAGAGAUUUCCGAAUGGGGAAACCCAGCAUGAGUUAUGUCAUGUUAUCGAUAUGUGAAUACAUAGCAUAUCAGAAGGCACACCCGGAGAACUGAAACAUCUUAGUACCCGGAGGAAGAGAAAGAAAAUUCGAUUCCCUUAGUAGCGGCGAGCGAAACGGGAAGAGCCCAAACCAACAAGCUUGCUUGUUGGGGUUGUAGGACACUCUAUACGGAGUUACAAAGGACGACAUUAGACGAAUCAUCUGGAAAGAUGAAUCAAAGAAGGUAAUAAUCCUGUAGUCGAAAAUGUUGUCUCUCUUGAGUGGAUCCUGAGUACGACGGAGCACGUGAAAUUCCGUCGGAAUCUG